AUUGAACGCUGGCGGCAGGCCUAACACAUGCAAGUCGAGCGGAUGAAGGGAGCUUGCUCCUGGAUUCAGCGGCGGACGGGUGAGUAAUGCCUAGGAAUCUGCCUGGUAGUGGGGGAUAACGUCCGGAAACGGGCGCUAAUACCGCAUACGUCCUGAUGGAGAAAGUGGUGGAUCUUCGGACCUCACGCUAUCAGAUGAGCCUAGGUCGUAUUAGCUAGUUGGUGGGGUAAAGGCCUACCAAGGCGACGAUCCGUAACUGGUCUGAGAGGAUGAUCAGUCACACUGGAACUGAGACACGGUCCAGACUCCUACGGGAGGCAGCAGUGGGGAAUAUUGGACAAUGGGCGAAAGCCUGAUCCAGCCAUGCCGCGUGUGUGAAGAAGGUCUUCGGAUUGUAAAGCACUUUAAGUUGGGAGGAAGGGCAGUAAGUUAAUACCUUGCUGUUUUGACGUUACCAACAGAAUAAGCACCGGCUAACUUCGUG
Molecule: ribosomal RNA, 484 nt
Filed under: uncultured bacterium
Lineage: Bacteria
Description: partial 16S ribosomal RNA
Rfam family: Bacterial small subunit ribosomal RNA
Source: RNAcentral